Molecule: non-coding RNA, 27 nt
Filed under: Rattus norvegicus (Norway rat)
Lineage: Eukaryota; Metazoa; Chordata; Mammalia; Rodentia; Muridae
Source: RNAcentral
UGGUCUUGGCCAUGUGUGGACCACGGU